Molecule: ribosomal RNA, 465 nt
Filed under: uncultured bacterium
Lineage: Bacteria
Description: partial 16S ribosomal RNA
Rfam family: Bacterial small subunit ribosomal RNA
Source: RNAcentral
GAUGAACGCUGGCGGCGUGCUUAACACAUGCAAGUCGAACGGAAAGGCCCCUGCUUGCUGGGGUACUCGAGUGGCGAACGGGUGAGUAACACGUGGGUGAUCUGCCCUGCACUUCGGGAUAAGCCUGGGAAACUGGGGCUAAUACCGGAUAGGACCAUGGUUUGGAUGCCAUGGGGGGGAGUUUUUCGGCGUGGGAUGAGCUCGCGGCUUAUCAGCUUGUUGGUGGGGUAGUGGCGUACCAAGGCGUCGACGGGUAGCCGGCCUGAGAGGGUGGACGGCCACAUUGGGACUGAGAUACGGCCCAGACUCCUACGGGAGGCAGCAGUGGGGAAUAUUGCACAAUGGGCGGAAGCCUGAUGCAGCGACGCCGCGUGGGGGAUGACGGCCUUCGGGUUGUAAACUCCUUUCGCUUGGGACGAAGCGCAAGUGACGGUACCUGGUGAAGAAGCACCGGCUAACUACGUG